This 492-nucleotide ribosomal RNA is filed under the name uncultured bacterium. Its description in RNAcentral is "partial 16S ribosomal RNA". It matches the Rfam family "Bacterial small subunit ribosomal RNA", at positions 29 to 507 of the family's 1533-position model. The record is from RNAcentral.
AGUGAACGCUGGCGGUAGGCCUAACACAUGCAAGUCGAACGGCAGCACAGUAAGAGCUUGCUCUUACGGGUGGCGAGUGGCGGACGGGUGAGGAGUACAUCGGAAUCUACUUUUUCGUGGGGGAUAACGUAGGGAAACUUACGCUAAUACCGCAUACGACCUACGGGUGAAAGCAGGGGAUCUUCGGACCUUGCGCGAUUGAAUGAGCCGAUGUCGGAUUAGCUAGUUGGCGGGGUAAAGGCCCACCAAGGCGACGAUCCGUAGCUGGUCUGAGAGGAUGAUCAGCCACACUGGAACUGAGACACGGUCCAGACUCCUGCGGGAGGCAGCAGUGGGGAAUAUUGGACAAUGGGCGCAAGCCUGAUCCAGCCAUACCGCGUGGGUGAAGAAGGCCUUCGGGUUGUAAAGCCCUUUUGUUGGGAAAGAAAAGCAGCAGGUUAAUACCCCGCUGUUCUGACGGUACCCAAAGAAUAAGCACCGGCUAACUUCGUG